AGAAGGAAAAGCACAGGUUCUUAACGAUGUCAAAACAGAACCAAGAACCGAAGGUCCUGCUGUAGUGUCUGAUAGUGUUAAUACACUAUUAUUUACUAUAGGCAUGCAUUUUAUAGGAUCUGCAAGUCUGUAUAUGGAUAGGUCACAAGAACAGUUAAUGAACUUGAGGUGUCCAGAUCUGUCUCAUUUCAAAUGGUAUAAAGAUACCUUCUUU
Molecule: unclassified non-coding RNA, 214 nt
Filed under: Hevea brasiliensis (rubber tree)
Lineage: Eukaryota; Viridiplantae; Streptophyta; Magnoliopsida; Malpighiales; Euphorbiaceae
Source: RNAcentral